GUGCCAGCAGCCGCGGUAAUACGAACUGUGCAAACGUUAUUCGGAAUCACUGGGCUUAAAGGGUGCGUAGGCGGCUGUCUAAGCAGGGUGUGAAAGCCCCCGGCUCAACCGGGGAAUUGCGUUCUGAACUGGACGGCUGGAGUGGGAUAGGGGUGUGUGGAACUUCCGGUGGAGCGGUGAAAUGUGUUGAUAUCGGAAGGAACGCCGGUGGCGAAAGCGACACACUGGGUCUCAACUGACGCUGAGGCACGAAAGCCAGGGGAGCGAACGGGAUUAGAUACCCGGGUAGUCC
Molecule: ribosomal RNA, 292 nt
Filed under: uncultured bacterium
Lineage: Bacteria
Description: partial 16S ribosomal RNA
Rfam family: Bacterial small subunit ribosomal RNA
Source: RNAcentral